Long non-coding RNA from Ipomoea nil (Japanese morning glory), 478 nucleotides. RefSeq lists it as uncharacterized. NCBI's taxonomy places the organism in Eukaryota, Viridiplantae, Streptophyta, Magnoliopsida, Solanales, Convolvulaceae. The transcript has 2 exons. The record is from RefSeq and is a predicted model, not a curated record.
ACAAAAAAGAACUUUGAGUUUUGAAAGAGAAAUUCCUUUCUUUAACGUCAACUUUUCUUCCAAGUAAAUUUAGAUCGAAUAUGAUAUUAAGGAGGGAGUACGAGGUGGGUGGGAUUCAAAGUCUUCGGACUUAAAUUUCAUUCAAAACUUCAGACUUUGAAGCCUUCCACUUCAGGAAGCUUCAAACAUCAAAUUUCAGACAUUUAUCACAAUUGGAAGACUAAACACAUUGGAUCAUGGCAAAAACAUUCAGGUUUGACAAAACAAAAUUGAAGACAUCACCUGAAAAUUAUCACUUCAAAACUCCUCUAAAGGAAAAACUCCAAAAAGAGGAGCAAUGUAUUAUUGACAAUUCAAGAAAAUUGUCCACUACUCCCCAGGCAAAUGCUAUCAAGGAGCAUGCAUCAAUGCUCUUGUAAGCUACUCUCAUGGGGGACAAUCAUUUGACUAAGAAACCAUUCACUUUUUAUGUUCUGUA